MicroRNA precursor from Salmo trutta (river trout), 61 nucleotides. Lineage: Eukaryota; Metazoa; Chordata; Actinopteri; Salmoniformes; Salmonidae. The record is from Ensembl.
UGAGAACUGAAUUCCAAGGGUUGUAUUUCUGAAGUCAGCCCAUGGGGCUCAGUUCUUAAAC